GGUGCCUGCGGACAGGGGAGGGGGGGCAUUCUUCCCUCUCUUUCUCCCCCCUCCCCCAACUCUCUAUUCCCCCUCUUUCUCCCCGUGUCUCAUUCUUCCCUCUCUGUCUCUUUCUCCCCCUCCCCAUCUCUCUAUUCCCCCUCUUUCUCCCCGUGUCUCAUUCUUCCCUCUCUGUCUCUUUCUCCCCCUCCCCAUCUCUCUAUUCCCCCUCUUUCUCCC
Pelobates cultripes (western spadefoot toad) is the source of this 219-nucleotide non-coding RNA. Lineage: Eukaryota; Metazoa; Chordata; Amphibia; Anura; Pelobatidae. The record is from the annotation of a GenBank genome assembly.